UAGGGCUGAACCUGUUCAUCAUCUCCGCUGUACUAAAGCUAAACUCGAUCUAUGCUUUCGAAAGCGUUCUUUCAUCGCCUUCCUAAAAAUCCGAGAGGCAAUAGUUACAGGUUCAUCCUCUUAAAUUCGUUGCUUAAAUCCAUCACUCACGAUCUCUCUUCAAUGCGAUCUUUAAUCCUGGGAGGCGGUGGAAUUACAACUAUAAAAAGACUGGUUGCUGCUCUUCCACCGUUCAAGUGCGGUUGCUCUGUUAUUGGGAGGCUAGAAACGUCCAACGCGGUGAAGAACUCAUGGGAGUCGAUAUGUUGCUACUUAAUUACCAGGUUGUAAAGAAAUAUGAAGAUGUGAAAGUGAUUGUAGCGGGGGAUGACGAUUCUACCAUUUAAGCUUUGAGGUAGUUGUGUAUGUCUUGAGUAUUUUUUUUUCAACUAUGUGCUGCCCAUGUUGCUGUUAGAAGCUACAGUUUGAGCACUGCUAGCUUUAAUUUGUUAAUUCACCUCCUUGAUGAUAUCACCAAAAGAGUUUCUUUGUUACACUUUGAUUUUAAGUUUUGAAUUGAAGUAUGCAAUGUAUUAGAAACUAUGGUUUCGUAUGUUUGUGCUUCCUAUGUUGCCAUUAGAAGCUACUGUUUUUUCCUCCAACAUUAUAUAUCUCUUGGUCUAUUUCACUUUCACAUAAGCGAUAAGUUUGGACACUGCUAAUUGUUAUUUGUUAACUCAUCUUUGAUGAUAUCACCCAGUCCCUAUCAUUACACUUUGAUUCUUAAGUUCUGAAUUGAAACAUGCACUGCAAGUGAAAGAAGAUCGAGCUCAUGUCAUUCACAAAAACUGUAGUAGAUGUGGUGCAGGAAGCAGACGCUUAUGGUGGCUAAAGCUGGGAGCAGCGACCGUCCUGCCAUUCCAGGCUUAAACAGCCCACCUUUCAUUCCAGGUUUCUAUGGUUCACAACUAAUUUAGAUUUUAGUAGUGAGCUAAGAUUGAUCAAUAUUUGAAGCUUUUUUAUGAACGCAUGGUGUGAUCAUCCAUGUGUCAUGCGAAGAAGCGUUACAAAAUACAAGGCUCUGUUUCCCGCAUUCGAUUUUCCAACUGUAAGAACAUCAUAUUGGUUAGAUCUGAUCAAUAUAUCUCUACUGAUAAUAAAUUGUUAGAAAGAUUCUUAUGCUUGCCUAUGUUGGAUUAGAUUGUAAUUGACGAUGAUAUUUUGUGAAAGCCGAGUCCAAGAGAGACCUCAGACUAAGUUGC
Brassica oleracea var. oleracea is the source of this 1241-nucleotide long non-coding RNA. RefSeq lists it as uncharacterized. NCBI's taxonomy places the organism in Eukaryota, Viridiplantae, Streptophyta, Magnoliopsida, Brassicales, Brassicaceae. The transcript has 4 exons. The record is from RefSeq and is a predicted model, not a curated record.